CAGGCCUUAAUUCUCCUCUGUUCUUCAAUAAGACACUGCUAUAGUCAUUGUGUAGAGGCCAGUCCCAUGUUCCUAUGCCUCUGGCCACCAACCAACAACAUUGUGUCCUAUCCUGAGGCUACAUUCUGUCAAGACCAGUACAGCACUGAGUAAUCUGGGCAUGGCUCAGGUGGAUCUUGGCUCUCAAAUCUCUCACAGGCUUCAAUCAAGGUGUCAGCUAGGACUGCAAGCAUCUUGACCCGUGGCUGGAAGGAAUUCUAAACUCAUUCACCUGGUUGUUGGAAGGAUUCAGCUCAUGCGCUAGUGCAAUACGGGCAUUAAAUCCUUACUGGCUGUUGGUCAGAGACUGCAUUUGAUCCUUGUCAGGUGGUUUCCUUACCACUUAGAUCAUAACUCUGCAAAAGAGAAUUUGAAAAGAGUUUUUGCCAAGUACACCUUAUGGAUUAUGAUGUUUUCCUGCAAGUUUGACCCCUUUAUCAUUAUGCAAUGCCCCAUUCUACCUCUGUGAAGCUGACUUGAACCAAGAUUAAUGUAACUACUCCAGCUCUCCUUUGGGUACUCUUAAUAUAUUUUAUCUUUCUUUAUUUGUCUCACUUUCAUUCUAUGAGUGUUGUUAUAUUUAAAAUAGGUUUUUUGGGCUGGGGAUUUAGCUCAGUGGCACACCCCCCCUUCUUGCAAGCACAGGGUCCUGAAUCUGAUCCCUGGUAUUGGAAAAAAAAAUCUAGGUUUCUUAUAAGCCCUGUAUAGUUGGGUUAUACUUUUCUUUUUCAAUUUAGUCAACAAGUAAUAAAUGCUUAUUUUAUGGGGUAUAAUGUAAUGUUUUUAUAUGCAUACAUGGUGGGAUAACUAGAUCAUAUUAACAUAUCUAGCACCUCACAUUGCAUUUUUCUGUAGCAAGAAUAUUUACACUUUUUUUUUUUUGUAGCCGGGGUCGAACUUGGGUCCUUGCACUUGCAGCAGGUGGCGAAACCACUGAGCUAAAUCUCCAGCCCCUAAGAAUAUUUACAAUUUACUUUUAGAAAUUUCAAAAUAUAUAAUACUUAUUGCUAACUAUAAUCAUGCUAUGUAAUAGAUCUCAUGAUCUUAUUAUUUCUAUCCAACUGAAACUUUGUACCUUUUAAUCAGCUUCUUUGCAGUGCCUUCCUCUGAUAACCUUCAUUCUAUUCUUAUGAGUUUGACAUUUUUAGAUCUUAUAUAUAAGACCAUACAUUAUUUGUCUUCCUGAGCUUGACUUAUUCCCUUAACAUAAUGUCCUCUAGAUUCAACCAUGUGUUCCCAAAUUACAUGAUUGUCUUUAAGGCUACAUAAUAUUCCCUGUGUAGUUACACUGUAAUUUCUUUUUUCAAAAAUCUAUCAUGAUUAUAUCCUUUAAUGGAUGUGCUAUACUGUUUACAUUAAAAUGAUUACUGAUAUAGUUGCUUUUUAAUAUUUUCUUUUUCUGAGUUCUUUUUUUGUCUUCUCCUGUUUCAUGAUUCAGCUUUCUAUUCUCUCAGUAUAUCAAUUAUAUAUCUUUAAACAAUUUUGAUGAUUGGCCUAGACAGUGAGAUACACUCAUAACCAAUAAGUCCUUUCUCAAAUAGCAUUAUAACACCUCACUGUUCCUACGUUGAUUUAUAACUGUAUUCCCAAUUCCUCCCUUUCAAUCUUUAUGAAAUGGCUUUCAUUCUUCUCACUUAUCUGUAGGCUAUAAUCACCUAAUAUUACUAUUAUUAUUUUGAACAAACAUAAAGAAAUGACAUGAGUAUGAUGCAUGUAAAACACUUCAAAAAUGUCUAAGAGAUUGAGAAGCUAAACAUCCAGCC
RNAcentral lists this long non-coding RNA (1802 nucleotides) under Heterocephalus glaber (naked mole-rat). RNAcentral's name for it is "lncRNA (ENSHGLG00000046630.1)". The record is from RNAcentral. Lineage: Eukaryota; Metazoa; Chordata; Mammalia; Rodentia; Bathyergidae.